GAAAAUUUUGAAAAUUUUUCGACCUUAGCCAACGACUUUUCAAAUAUUUUCGUCAGCUAAAGUCCUUUGAAAAUUUUCCUCCAAAUUUGGUUUACCACCCAAAAAUUUUUGACCUUAGCCGAUGACUUUUUUAAUAUCUCGUCGGCUAAAGUCUAUAAAUUCACGAAAACGCUCAUAUCUCCCUCUAUAUUACGUAGUUUAGUCAAACCUUCCACACGAAAAACUUUCACGUAGAUGAGACGCAACCGCCUAUAUAAAAAUUUUGAGACAUUUACCUUCCGACGAUAGGGCUCCCCAUAGGGAAUAAUAACGGUUAAUAGGGUUGACCGCUACUAUCGCCACCGAGACUUUACCCGAUUUACGUGAGUUUUGAACCAUAGCCGUAUUUCACCAUUCUAAACACAUCUUAUUUCACGAGAUUUUUGAUAAUUUUGCUUCCUAUAUAGAGUUGGUUCACAAAAUUGUAUAACCUACUAAACAAGUUAUACAACAUUAGUAGACACGUUGUGAUUCCGAUGACUAAAAUUCACAAACCAAAAUUUGACCGUCAGAUAUGAUCAUUAUGACGAAAGAAGUCUAUGGUAAAAAAUUCAACUGGAUCCGACAACGUUAAGGACUCGAUCGAAACGGUCAACCAUAAUCCAUCGUCACUUAUCACACGAAAACGCUCAUAUCUCCCUCUAUAUUACGUGGUUUGGUCAAACCUUCAACACAAAAAACUCUCACGUAGAUGAGGCGUAACUGCCCAUAUAAAAAUUUUGAGACAUUUAUCUUCCGACGAUAGGGCUCCCCAUAGGGAAUAAUAACGGUAAAUAGUAGACACGUGAUUCCGAUGACUAAAAUUUACAAACCAAAAUUCGACCGUCUGAUAUGAUCAUUAUGACGAAAGAUGUCUAUGGUAAAAAAUUCAACUGGAUUCGACAACGUUAAGGGCUCGAUCAAAACGGUCAACUCUAAUCGGAAAUAAGAAAACUGCAUUUUGAAGCCCUAAACGGACUCAGAUGGCCAAAAAGGCCCAUACAUCAUGGCAAUAGCGAUGAGUUUGACUCGUAGGGCCGUUACGCUUCCGGAAAGGUAUCACAAUAGUCAAUCAGACACCAAAAACCAAAUCUGCAGCAUAGUGAAUAAUAAG
RNAcentral lists this long non-coding RNA (1132 nucleotides) under Fragaria vesca (wild strawberry). RNAcentral's name for it is "long non-coding RNA (FVES_LNC004929)". Lineage: Eukaryota; Viridiplantae; Streptophyta; Magnoliopsida; Rosales; Rosaceae. The record is from RNAcentral.